This 406-nucleotide ribosomal RNA is filed under the name uncultured bacterium. RNAcentral describes it as "partial 16S ribosomal RNA". It matches the Rfam family "Bacterial small subunit ribosomal RNA", at positions 30 to 526 of the family's 1533-position model. The record is from RNAcentral.
AUUGAACGCUGGCGGCAGGCUUAACACAUGCAAGUCGAGCGAGCGGCGGACGGGUGAGUAAUGUCUGGGAAACUGCCUGAUGGAGGGGGAUAACUACUGGAAACGGUAGCUAAUACCGCAUACCAUCAGAUGUGCCCAGGUGGGAUUAGCUAGUAGGGGGGGUAAUGGCUCACCUAGGCGACGCUCCCUAGCUGGUCUGAGCGGAUGACCAGCCACACUGGAACUGAGACACGGUCCAGCAUCCUACGGGAGGCAGCCGUGGGGAUUAUUGCACAAUGGGCGCAAGCCUGAUGCGGCCAUGCCGCGUGUGUGAAGAGGGCCUUCGGGUUGUAAAGCACGUUCAGCGAGGAGGCGUUACUCGCAGAGGAAGCACCGGCUAACUCCGUGCCAGCAGCCGCGGUAAUAC